UGCAGUCGAGCGAACAGACGAGGAGCUUGCUCCUUUGACGUUAGCGGCGGACGGGUGAGUAACACGUAGGUAACCUACCUAUAAGACUGGGAUAACUUCGGGAAACCGGAGCUAAUACCGGAUAAUAUUUCGAACCGCAUGGUUCGAUAGUGAAAGAUGGCUUUGCUAUCACUUAUAGAUGGACCUGCGCCGUAUUAGCUAGUUGGUAAGGUAACGGCUUACCAAGGCAACGAUACGUAGCCGACCUGAGAGGGUGAUCGGCCACACUGGAACUGAGACACGGUCCAGACUCCUACGGGAGGCAGCAGUAGGGAAUCUUCCGCAAUGGGCGAAAGCCUGACGGAGCAACGCCGCGUGAGUGAUGAAGGUCUUCGGAUCGUAAAACUCUGUUAUUAGGGAAGAACAAACGUGUAAGUAACUGUGCACGUCUUGACGGUACCUAAUCAGAAAGCCACGGCUAACUACGUGCCAGCAGCCGCGGUAAUACGUAGGUGGCAAGCGUUAUCCGGAAUUAUUGGGCGUAAAGCGCGCGUAGGCGGUUUUUUAAGUCUGAUGUGAAAGCCCACGGCUCAACCGUGGAGGGUCAUUGGAAACUGGAAAACUUGAGUGCAGAAGAGGAAAGUGGAAUUCCAUGUGUAGCGGUGAAAUGCGCAGAGAUAUGGAGGAACACCAGUGGCGAAGGCGACUUUCUGGUCUGUAACUGACGCUGAUGUGCGAAAGCGUGGGGAUCAAACAGGAUUAGAUACCCCUGGUAGUCCACGCCGU
This 765-nucleotide ribosomal RNA is filed under the name Staphylococcus hominis. RNAcentral describes it as "bacterial SSU rRNA". It matches the Rfam family "Bacterial small subunit ribosomal RNA", at positions 56 to 803 of the family's 1533-position model. Lineage: Bacteria; Bacillati; Bacillota; Bacilli; Caryophanales; Staphylococcaceae. The record is from RNAcentral.